CCUACGGGGGGCAGCAGUGGGGAAUAUUGGGCAAUGGCCGCAAGCCUGACCCAGCAACGCCGCGUGAAGGAAGAAGGCUCUCGGGUUGUAAACUUCCUUUUAGAGGGAAGUGCAGAAGACGGUACCUCUUGAAUAAGCCACGGCUAACUACGUGCCAGCAGCCGCGGUAAUACGUAGGUGGCAAGCGUUGUCCGGAUUUACUGGGUGUAAAGGGCGUGCAGCCGGGAAGACAAGUCAGAUGUGAAAGCCCGCGGCUCAACCGCGGAACUGCAGUUGAAACUGUUUUUCUUGAGUACCGUAGAGGUCAGCGGAAUGCGUUGUGUAGCGGUGAAAGGCGUAGAUAUAAGGAAGAACACCAGUGGCGAAGGCGGAUGACUGGACGGCAACUGACGGUGAGGCGCGAAAGCGUGGGGAGCAAACAGGAUUAGAUACCCCAGUAGUC
RNAcentral lists this ribosomal RNA (442 nucleotides) under uncultured bacterium. RNAcentral describes it as "partial 16S ribosomal RNA". It matches the Rfam family "Bacterial small subunit ribosomal RNA", at positions 338 to 795 of the family's 1533-position model. The record is from RNAcentral.